UCUCAUUUCAGUUCUGCAAAGCUUCAUGGCCGGAUAGCAGCAGCAAAAGGGACAACCAAAACCUUCAACAUUUCUUCUUCCAAAACUCAUGCAAAUCACCACCGAAUCUUCUAAAAAUUUAGCACCACUUAGCCUAAGUUUUGGACAACACAUUUAGCUGGAAAAGGGAGGAGCUUUCACGGUUCUUCAAGCUUCAAAGGGGCCGAAACUUCUGUCCUAACCAGCCAUCAAAGUAGGUUGGAUCGGAAGAUUUUGGUAAAGCCGACUAGAUUAUACUUUUGAUUGGAAUCGGGACUGUAAAUGUGUAGUCGACUUUUAAUGGUUGCAUUUUGGAACUUGAUGUAUCUUUUGUGAACAUGAUGUAAGAUUUAAAUAUUUAGUUAAGGAAGCGACUUUUCUUUAUUUUGACUCGUAGUAUUUGGUAUGUAUCGUUAAGUUCGAUUUGA
Coffea arabica (coffee) is the source of this 446-nucleotide non-coding RNA. The record is from RefSeq and is a predicted model, not a curated record. NCBI's taxonomy places the organism in Eukaryota, Viridiplantae, Streptophyta, Magnoliopsida, Gentianales, Rubiaceae.